UGUGUGCUUUGACCUUUUAGACUUUACAUU
Molecule: non-coding RNA, 30 nt
Filed under: Mus musculus (house mouse)
Lineage: Eukaryota; Metazoa; Chordata; Mammalia; Rodentia; Muridae
Source: RNAcentral